This is a long non-coding RNA of Oncorhynchus keta (chum salmon), 295 nucleotides long. RefSeq lists it as uncharacterized. Lineage: Eukaryota; Metazoa; Chordata; Actinopteri; Salmoniformes; Salmonidae. The transcript is spliced from 4 exons. The record is from RefSeq and is a predicted model, not a curated record.
UAAUAACCUUAUUGUGAUAUCUAGUCUGUUGUGUAAUAACCUUAUUGUGAUAUCUAGUCUGUUGUGUAAUAACCUUAUUGUGAUAUCUAGUCUGUUGUGUAAUAACCUUAUUGUGAUAUCUAGUCUGUUGUGUAAUAACCUUAUUGUGAUAUCUAGUCUGUUGUGUAAUAACCUUAUUGUGAUAUCUAGUCUGUUGUGUAAUAACCUUAUUGUGAUAUCUAGUCUGUUGUGUAAUAACCUUAUUGUGAUAUCUAGUCUGUUGUGUAAUAACCUUAUUGUGAUAUCUAGUCUGUUG